Molecule: ribosomal RNA, 253 nt
Filed under: uncultured bacterium
Lineage: Bacteria
Description: partial 16S ribosomal RNA
Rfam family: Bacterial small subunit ribosomal RNA
Source: RNAcentral
UACGUAGGGUGCAAGCGUUAUCCGGAAUCACUGGGCGUAAAGCGUGCGUAGGCGGCUAGGUAAGACAGGUGUGAAAUCCCCGGGCUUAACCUGGGGACUGCAUUUGUGACUGCAUAGCUAGAGUACGGCAGAGGGGGAUGGAAUUCCGCGUGUAGCAGUGAAAUGCGUAGAUAUGCGGAGGAACACCGAUGGCGAAGGCAAUCCCCUGGGCCUGUACUGACGCUCAUGCACGAAAGCGUGGGGAGCAAACAGG